UUUCAUUUUCAUUUCCCAAUAACCGACUCUUCGGUUCUCUCAAUCUCUCCUCCUUCUCUCUAGUUUCUCUGUGAUUUUAUCGAUUAAUCUGAAUAUUGACAUGGUAUCAGAGCCUUACAACGAUCCGAUCAUGUUUAUUUGCAUAUCGGUAUCACUUUUGAACAUUUGUUUGACGAUUUUUGAGGAUUUUCCUGAGAUCGAAUGGUCAGUGAUGAUUCCGUUUUGAUCGGACAUGGUUCAAAGUGUUUCACACCAUAAUAUCCGGGUGAAUCUUCUUAACCUCAACGUUUUAACAACGUUUUUAUCGUUUUUGGGUGAUUUCUGGUGAGUUAUCGGUAUCUAGGGUUUUCGGUGGUUUUGACUUGCUGGUUUACCGUCUUCCGGUGGUCCGAUUCUCAUCUCGUGGA
Molecule: long non-coding RNA, 407 nt
Filed under: Nicotiana benthamiana
Lineage: Eukaryota; Viridiplantae; Streptophyta; Magnoliopsida; Solanales; Solanaceae
Description: long non-coding RNA (NBEN_LNC007408)
Source: RNAcentral